AUGAUACGAUAUUUGCUAAUUCUCUCUUCUAUUCUUCUGAAAUUCCAGGCUGAAUCGAGACCACAUCGAAACCCUAAGCCUCCUUCCCUAUUCUCCUUCAUUGGAAUUGGCUACGACAGAGUCACCAUGGUUACCACCAACCUUCCUCCAUUUCUCGGUCCGUCUCAAUAUCUCGAACACACCAGAAGAACCUUCAUCCGCGGUUUUAUCAGACACAGAUUAGAGCGGCCAAUCGAACUUAAGGAGGCUCCGAUUCGAGCGAACAAUGAGCAUUAA
This is a non-coding RNA of Vicia faba (fava bean), 276 nucleotides long. Lineage: Eukaryota; Viridiplantae; Streptophyta; Magnoliopsida; Fabales; Fabaceae. The record is from the annotation of a GenBank genome assembly.